RNAcentral lists this long non-coding RNA (580 nucleotides) under Olea europaea subsp. europaea. Lineage: Eukaryota; Viridiplantae; Streptophyta; Magnoliopsida; Lamiales; Oleaceae. The record is from RNAcentral.
CUUAGAAAAUCAUCAAUAAUUAAACAUUUUCUACUCUUUCCAUAUAUUUGUUGCAAAAAUUGAUGAAUAGAUAAAUUAUAAGUCACGACUUUAUCAAUCAACAAAGAGCUAAGGUUUUAUCAACCCAGCAUAUAAAACUACCAAACCUAACAUAGAAUUGACAUGGCCAAUUGAUCCAAAAAUGAAACCAUCUUCAAAUUCUACUAAGUUCUUCCUACUAACUCUCGGUCCCUCCUCAAGCCAUCAAAAGUACCACAAUGGAUAGAGACAACUUGGGAUCUUUCUGCCACAAAUCAAACAUCAAAAGCUCAAAUUGCUGAAGAAAUGAAAUACCCAAACUCUCAAACGAAUCCUCGAGCAAAUCUUGCCUCAAAAGAAAUAAAAAUAAAGAAGUACACGACGACUAAUUUCUUAUUCUCGUUUUCAAUCUUCCUACUCUCCCCAUCUCCAAUAAAUUGGCACAAACUGGCCUAAAAUCAAGAAAACGAACAGAGACUAGCGAGAUAGCAAAGGAGUAACGUCUUUUUUUUUUCUUUUUUUUUUUCAGCCGUAUAUCAUAUUCAACACAUUCUUGAGAAAU